AUCCUUUUGUAGUUCAUAAGUGUGACGAUUGGAUUUUCACGCUCAUGUGAGAAAUGUGCCUUUCUUAAACCUUGUUAUGACACUGGCACGUUACCUAUCUGAUG
Small nucleolar RNA from Cebus imitator (Panamanian white-faced capuchin), 104 nucleotides. RefSeq annotates it as small nucleolar RNA U13. The transcript has a single exon. Lineage: Eukaryota; Metazoa; Chordata; Mammalia; Primates; Cebidae. The record is from RefSeq and is a predicted model, not a curated record.